Amphimedon queenslandica is the source of this 599-nucleotide long non-coding RNA. RefSeq lists it as uncharacterized. The record is from RefSeq and is a predicted model, not a curated record. The transcript has 3 exons. NCBI's taxonomy places the organism in Eukaryota, Metazoa, Porifera, Demospongiae, Haplosclerida, Niphatidae.
UGGUUUACGAACGAAUGUACCAGUAUCGGACCAGUCACCUCCGCCAGCUUCUCCUCCUCCACCUCCUCCUCUGUUUCGUGGCAUCUUUCUUUCUAGCUGCUUUGUCUUUCUUGUUGUAAUGAAAUGUAGUCCAGCAGUCCUUCUUUUCCACUCCUUCAGUUGUUUCUUAUUUUUAAUAAUUAAUUAAUUACGAGCCCGGCCCACUCAAUCACGUGACAUUAGAUCUAGCUAAUGAAUAAUAAAAUUUGAGCAUUCGAGCAAAAUAAUUAAGAUUUUGGACUGGACCCAUCAUCGACCUAUCACCAUUUAUGAGUGAAGACUGGAAGACUGUGAAGCUCAAGCUGUACUAAUUGAGACUCCAGUUGCUGCUGUUCCUCAGGUCUUGAAGAGGAUUCGUGCUGGAUUGGCAAGAAGAGACAAACCAGGCUUGGAGUGAUUUUGAGCAAAAGCAGCACGCCCUCUCUCAGCUCAAGGCUCUCCAGAGACUUAUCCAAGAGAACCUAGAUCAAGUAUCUGCUGCAUUGAAAGCUGACCUCAACAAAAAUGAAUUUGAGUCAAUAGCGGGAGAAUGCAAUGUAGUCCUGCCGACAUUAUUGAAG